RNAcentral lists this unclassified non-coding RNA (384 nucleotides) under uncultured fungus. RNAcentral's name for it is "partial contains 5.8S ribosomal RNA, internal transcribed spacer 2, and large subunit ribosomal RNA". Lineage: Eukaryota; Fungi. The record is from RNAcentral.
AACGCAUAUUGCACUCCCUGGUAUUCCGGGGAGUAUGCCUGUUUCAGUAUCAUGAACAACACCUCAGGCCAAAAAGGUGGGCGUCUCGUCUCGUCUUUUUGGACCCUGGAUCUAGGCUGUGAAACUUAUUCUGCAGCCGACCUCGAUCUCUCUUCUGAGGUCGGCCAGCCUGAAAUGCAUCCCACCGCGACAAGGGGAAAAAAAGAAAGGCGUUAUAGUUUGACCUCUGAGUCGAUCUUUUUCGCCGAAGAAAGAAAACCCUUGGGGCCCGCGGCGAUUUAGCAGGACACGACCGAAAGCGACCGGCGGGAAGCUAAUUCCUCCAGGUUGUCUUUUGAUCCUCAACUUGAUCUGAAAUCAGGUAGGAGUACCCGCUGAACUUAA